This 268-nucleotide ribosomal RNA is filed under the name Bacillus thuringiensis. Its description in RNAcentral is "partial 16S ribosomal RNA". It matches the Rfam family "Bacterial small subunit ribosomal RNA", at positions 1 to 256 of the family's 1533-position model. RNAcentral also lists the same sequence under 1 other name. The record is from RNAcentral. Lineage: Bacteria; Bacillati; Bacillota; Bacilli; Caryophanales; Bacillaceae.
UUUAUUGGAGAGUUUGAUCCUGGCUCAGGAUGAACGCUGGCGGCGUGCCUAAUACAUGCAAGUCGAGCGAAUGGAUUGAGAGCUUGCUCUCAAGAAGUUAGCGGCGGACGGGUGAGUAACACGUGGGUAACCUGCCCAUAAGACUGGGAUAACUCCGGGAAACCGGGGCUAAUACCGGAUAACAUUUUGAACUGCAUGGUUCGAAAUUGAAAGGCGGCUUCGGCUGUCACUUAUGGAUGGACCCGCGUCGCAUUAGCUAGUUGGUGAG